This 253-nucleotide ribosomal RNA is filed under the name uncultured bacterium. Its description in RNAcentral is "partial 16S ribosomal RNA". It matches the Rfam family "Bacterial small subunit ribosomal RNA", at positions 524 to 776 of the family's 1533-position model. The record is from RNAcentral.
UACGUAGGGUGCUAGCGUUGUCCGGAUUUAUUGGGCGUAAAGAGCUCGUAGGCGGUUUGUUGCGUCUAUCGUGAAAACCUGCAGCUUAGCUGUGGGCUUGCGGUGGAUACGGGCAGACUUGAGUUCGGUAGGGGAGACUGGAAUUCCUGGUGUAGCGGUGAAAUGCGCAGAUAUCAGGAGGAACACCGGUGGCGAAGGCGGGUCUCUGGGCCGAUACUGACGCUGAGGAGCGAAAGCGUGGGGAGCGAACAGG